GCGGACGUGGUGGAAUUGGUAUACACGACAGACUUAAAAUCUGUUGGCUCAUGGCCAUGCGGGUUCGAGUCCCGCCGUCCGCACCA
This 86-nucleotide transfer RNA is filed under the name Rhodospirillaceae bacterium. RNAcentral describes it as "tRNA-Leu". It matches the Rfam family "tRNA". Rfam says of the family: Transfer RNA (tRNA) molecules are approximately 80 nucleotides in length. Their secondary structure includes four short double-helical elements and three loops (D, anti-codon, and T loops). The record is from RNAcentral. RNAcentral also lists the same sequence under 1 other name. Lineage: Bacteria; Pseudomonadati; Pseudomonadota; Alphaproteobacteria; Rhodospirillales; Rhodospirillaceae.